This is a long non-coding RNA of Protobothrops mucrosquamatus (brown spotted pit viper), 313 nucleotides long. RefSeq lists it as uncharacterized. The record is from RefSeq and is a predicted model, not a curated record. NCBI's taxonomy places the organism in Eukaryota, Metazoa, Chordata, Lepidosauria, Squamata, Viperidae. The transcript has 3 exons.
UGAGGGUGUUUCUGCUGAGUUUGGAGAAAGACAUCAGCCAAGUCAAACUGGUCUCUGCAGAAACAGCUACCCACAGCAGAGUGAGGAGGAAAAGGGUUACUCCAGCUUGUCACAAACACACAGCAUGAAGCAGAGGAAUACUAAUGACAUUAUGCAAGAUGAAGGGGAGCAACUAGAUUCCUCAGCUCAAUCAAUUAAUCUCUUCCACUAUCAACCACGCCUUGCUCAUUUGAAGAUUUCUACAUCUGAAAUAGGGCAAGCUCCAAAUCCUGAACAUUCUCCCAUAAAACCUUUUGACUACCAUGAAGAAGGU